Molecule: long non-coding RNA, 12394 nt
Filed under: Gallus gallus (chicken)
Lineage: Eukaryota; Metazoa; Chordata; Aves; Galliformes; Phasianidae
Source: RNAcentral
GUAUAAUUCCCAGCAUUUCAGAGGUAGUGUUGGCUGAGAUUAGCAAGACUAACUUAAUAAAGCACUAUCGUAAUUGCAUAUUCACUGGGAAAGGGAAAAGUAAUCAAAUGAAAAAGGACAAAACCGGCAGGGAAAGAAAAUUUAUUUCCAAGCAUCUACGAGAGUGCUACAAACAAUAGAGACUAAAACUCAAAGCAUUUGAAACUUAAAAAACGUAGUUGACAAUGUCCUUCUUAAAAAUCAAACAUAAAAACGUAGAAAAUGCAGUUAUUAAUUCUAAAACUUGCUCAAUAGUGAAACAAGACCAGAUAGAUAGCAUCAAUGAGGAUGGAGUCCUACAAAUGACUUUUUGUUUUUUUUAUUUCCAUUUGUUAAUUUGUAAAUUGAUACUCAUUUCAUUUUUUAAUAUUCAUUUAAAUUUAAAAUGGAGAAAUGUGCAAAUCUAGCAAAAUAUUCUUUGGAUUAUAAACAGAGAAAAAUCAACAACCAAAGAAAUUUGAACCAAGUUAAUAAAGUAAACUAUAGAAUUAUAUAGAAUGCAUACAGCUAUAAUAAAGUGAAAUAUAACAAUAAACAUUAUAGAGCAAAUCUGCUGAUUUAGCAAACUCUGCCUUAUUAAACAUAGGGAUAUAAUGGGACAAGUGAAUAUGUCGUGAUUAUAGAGCUGAAACGUCAUUCAUAAUUUUAAUGAGUUAAAUUUUAAUCUAACUACAUACAUGGGGGUCUUCAGAAAAGCAGUACACCAACAGAUCAGAUUUCCUCUCAGAUCAAGCAGUUGGGUACCUGACUGCAAUUGAAGGACGGGGUCUGUAAAAUGAACAGUAGAAAAAUGGAUAUCGCUUCUAUUUAUUGCCUCUUCCCAUAUUGCAGCUGCUGAUCUCUGACCCUAAACAGCAAACUACAUUAAAUUUAGAAGAACUACAGCUGUACACAGAUGCUGAAAAUGUGGAUGCACGGAACAUAUUCCAAUCCCUCGCUCGUUCUGAACUAAUAUAAAAAAAGUUAUAGAUCAUUUUUCGAUUAAAAACAUACAUUACAAAGAACGACUCUGAAAGCACUCCGUAUUUCUGUCAUCACAAAUUAGAACGCCUUCCUAUCAGUGGAUGAACCUAUUCUACUGCAAUAAAUGAAAAAAUAAAAUGAAAUAAAAGUAAGUGCCAGAAUCUUAAUUAAUACUCAGGUAAGGUAAUUGUCAGGUAGAACAGUCUUUAGGGAACUUAUAGCUAAAUGGGGUCAGAUUUCAGUCUCUCAAACCCGCAGCUUAGCGCAGACAGGGAAAUCACAAGCCUGGAAUAGGCUGUAAGCACAGAGUACUCCCGUCCACUUAUCAAGUCAGUUCUGAAACCUCUGGAAUUUCUAAGAUAUAAGAUAAAUGCAUAUUACAUGGGACAUAUUUAAAAGUAUUACACUUAAUUUAAUCCAGAAAACACAGUAGUAUUAUAGGAAGAUUAUUACUGUGUUCUGGGAGCAGCCACAAGCUGUAGAUAGAGGGUACAAAAUGUUCACCAGACGUUACAUUUUUUUUCUUUUAAAUCUAAAAAACAUUUUUAAAAUGUACUUGAUUUUUAAAUAAUCACUUAACAAGGCAACAAACCAACUACAAACACAUAAUAAAUAAGGCUAUUAAAAGACCACAACUGUAGUAAAUUAGUCAGAACUAUAAAUGGGACAUUAGAAACACUAUGUUUUGUUCUUAUAUGCUUAAUAACCAGAACAAGAAUUAAAAAAAGAAUCAGUUUAUUUCAAAGUCUGCUUCUUAUAUUGAAGCACAUAUUAAAGCAACAGUACAAUGUUCAUAAAAUAUAAGUGUGAUGCUGUAACAUUUCUUACAUGUCAGAAUACUGAUAUUUGUAUGUAUACUAAAAUAAGAAUUUUAAAAUUGUACAAAUAGAUACAUUAAAAAUGACAUAGAAAUAGGGCGCCUCCCACUGCAACAAGACAGAGUUUUUAUAUCUGGCACGUAUUAGUUCAAGAUGAAAGUAUAAGCAAAAAGAUUUACAAGAAUCAGCUGUAACAAGUUUUGAUGCUCAAGAGACAUAAUAAUUGUACAUUGUACUGUACAUACAUCAUAUGGGUUUAAGCUGGCUGAAUAUUAUAUAUUUCAAGUUUAAAAAUGCACUACCAUAUAGAGUGUCCAUAGUUUAAGGCGAAAUUACAGCUCAGAACUGUUAACUUUUCUAAUUUGUGGAAGCUUCUUUGACAUAAAAGAUUUAGAUGUUCAUAACACAUAAAAGAUUUCCCUUAUUUGUGGGUUCACUUUUAGCAUUUUCCUUCAUUUAAAUAUUCUGUAUUUCUUAAGUGGGUUUUUUCCUCUAGUGAAGUUGGCAGCCAACUUCUGUAUUUGCCUUCUGUAGGAAAAGGUACUUCACAGUAUUUACCACUUUUAUGUCCUUUUUUAUCAAAGGAAUCCCUUCUGUCAAAUGUUUAAAUGAGACUUUUCUUGAUUUUUAAAAAAAUACCUGCUUACAUUUCUUCUGGAUUCUUCAGAACAUUGGACACAGUUCUUAAGGCCAAAUAUUAAACUUUAUUGUUAAGAAUCAUCAUCGAAAGUGUCUUUGGAGCCAUACAAGUCUGCAAGUUUCUUAAAUCGAGGUCCCCAGUUUUGUAGAUAGUCGUAGUCCAAAUCAGAAUCUGUUGUCGCUGACUCUAAUGAGCUAAGUGAACCAGCCACUGAGCCUCUUCCUUCAUAGCCAUAGAUCUGAAUAGAAUCAUACGGAGGAGCAGUUGGAUCGUUAUCAGCCUCUUGUAUUCUUGUGUUGAUGAAAUCAUCAACAUCAACGCUAUUGGGAGCUGGUCGAAGCCCCGGUCUUGGCAUAUACUGAUACUCAGGUUUUAUGUCUUUACGAGGAAUAAAUCCAUUGAUGCCAUCAGGGUUCUGCAAAGUAGCUAUGUCAAAAGCUUCAGUAUCUUCCUCUCCUCCUCCUUCAUCAUCGUAAGUAAUAAUGUUCUCGCGGACAUCUUCUUCUUCAAAAACAAUGAGAGGUUCUUUCUUCUGCCUUUUCAGUGUUACAAACAACACUACAAUGACUAUAGGGAAAAAAAAAAAAAGUUAGACUGCACUCUUGAACAGAAACUGCUUUAAAAAUAGAUUAUUGCAUUCAUUGAAAUCUUAGCUUUUAUGCUCCAGUUUGGCAUGUAUUUUUGCUAGCAUCAGCAGUUUUGGCAUACCCAGCUAAGUAAAAGCUAUGAUGUUUGUACACAGAGUUGAACAUAAUGAUUCGAACGUUUCUCUUUGGGCUGAAUGCCAUUGCUCAUACUAAUUGUUUAUUACUGCAUAACUUUAAUUCAAAAAAAGGAUUUGUGGGCCCCUUGUGCUGUGUGACUGUUGCAGCACUGCCUCUGAGCGGUCCGAUGACAUGUUUGCUUGCAGCAAAAAACGAUGAAUCUCUUCUCUCUCCUGUAUGUCUAAAGCUAAACUCCAAUUUCAUGUUCUGGGCAUUUCUAUGAAAAAGGAAUUAUUCUGAAGCAACAGCUUCUCACUGCUGACUUCUUUAAAAUAACUUGAAUAUGUAAGAAAAUAAUGGCUGAUGAAUAAUAGGAACAAAUUAAAACAUUUUAUAUAAAUAUUUUCAAAUCAUCAGGAAAUGGUUUAUAGCACUUUCUUAAAAGCAAAUCUUUCAAGCCCUUCAUUUGUCUUCAACACAAGAGAAGUUGGAGGGAAAUAGCUGGCAGGAGCCAUUAAUCCUGGCUGACCUCAAUAAGGAACUUGUCAUCCAGGGAAGAUCACAAAACUUAAAACUGUAUGUCGUGACCUCCUUUAAACAGCGCUCCUGAUUAACUGAUACUGGGCCACAGAAGGACAUUCUUUGAGCUCACCCAGACAUAUUCAGUUGUGUUUGCUAUUGCAGUCAGCAUACACUGUGUUUCAGCUUGCCAAAUAAUUAGUACCACCUAUCAGAAUACACACUAAGAGAUUAAGAUUGGUUUAUACAUCUUGGAAUGAAAGGCAAGCUUAACUUUUAAAUACAAAUAAUUGUAGAAGAAUAAGUAAAUAACUACUUUACCAAGCAAAAUCACAAUGCAAGCAAGAAUGGCAAUUAAAGCUCCGGUGCUUAAUCCCGCAUUGAGUAUGUAGGCUUCGGCAUUACAGGAGAGCAAGGAGCCAUUGCUGUCACAGCCGCAGACUCGGAUGGUCAGGGUGUUGGUGCUGCUCAUAGGGGGGAGUCCUCCAUCACUUAUUACAAUAGGAAGAAGGUAUAAGUCUUGCUUUUGACGACUAAAUCCUUCGCGUCUAACAAGAACACUUGCAGUGUUAUCUCUGUUGUCUCUGAGGGUAAAAUUUGGAUUAUGAAUAAUUUCGGGUGGUAAACUGAAGAUAAAUCUUGGUCCAUUGGCUGAGUCAUCUUUGUCAUCAGCACUAAUUGUAAUAAAUUGCUGAUUGCUUCGAGCAUUCUCACAGACAAACGCUUCAUAGGCUGCUGCAAAUUUUGGAGCAUUGUCAUUGACAUCAACAACCUUAAUUGCAACUGGAACUUUGGCUUCCUGGUGUUGCUUGUGGACUUCAACAGCAAAGACAGAGAUAUUAUGCCAAGCAAUUUCUUCCCUAUCCAAAGCUUUUAUUGUCUUGAUGUUGCCAUCAUCUGCAUUAAUAGUAAAAUAUCUUUCAAGGUCAGUGUGACGAUCAAUUGAAUACCUUAUAGCACUGUUUGCAGCAUCAGGAUCUUUGGCAUGUACUUUUCCAACCACAGUACCAGAUGCUGCAUUUUCUUGUACUUCAAAAAUAUAACUUGGUUUUAAAAACACAGGCGGCUCAUCAGCGUCUUCCACUGUAAUCUUCACUGUUACUGUGUCCUUGAAUGGCCCAUUGCUGAUGAACUUUGGAUCAAUAUGCACGUUGGCUGCCUCUACCUUCAGGCUGUAGGACUUUUUGGUUUCAAAAUCCAAGACUUUCUUAAGCUUUACAACACCUUCCUGAGUCUCAUAGUCUGUUGUAAUUUCAAACAUAUCCAUGCCAUCUCCAUCAAUGAUGCUGUAAGCUACCAAGCCGUUUUCCCCAAUGUCUGGAUCUUUGGCCUUCACUCUUCCUACUUCCUCUCCAGGAACAGCUGCUUCUGACACAGACAUCUGGUACACACUCUGUGGAAACUUUGGUGGGUUGUCAUUGACAUCUGUAAGUGUAAUUGUCACUUUGGUUGUCCCUGAGAGGCCUCCCAUGUGUCCUCCCAUAUCUUUUGCCUGUAUUACAACGUGAUACUCUUCCUUAGCUUCUCUGUCCAUAUUUGGAAGGGCCGUUCGGAUAAUUCCUGUUUGAGCUUCCACUGAGAAGUACGGCUGACCUUCAAGAAUACUGUAAACCAAUUUGGCACUGUUCCCAUAUGUAGGAUCAUCAGCAUCUGAAGCUGUUACCUGAAUAACAGAUGUACCCACAUUUGAUCUCUCUGGCACAUUGGCAUGGUAGUUUUCGUGAAGAAAUUCAGGGGGGUUGUCAUUGAUAUCUUGGACUUUAACAAUGAAUUCUGAGGGCGGUUCCAAAGGUCUGUUGGUGUUCCUGUCUACAGCUUGUGCCGUGAGAGUGUACUGAGCUCUCUCCUCUCGGUCCAGUGUCUUUGUUGCAUGGAUGUUCCCUGAUUUGUCAUCAAUAACAAAAAUGAUUCCUGCUCCUUCACCUGAGAGAAUGUAUUUAAUGUUUCCAUCUCCAGAAUCAAUAUCUGAAUGAAGCCUUCCCACUAGUACAGGAUCUGGUCCUGUGUACUCUUCUAUAACAAAGAACUGAUUCCACACCCAGCCUCUUUUUGAACGAUGCAAAACUUGUCCUUCUUUUCCUUUUUCAUGGUGACCAUGAAGCGAUGGCCGUACGUGGUUUAGUUUUUCGGUAGUUAUGGCAUGGCUGUAAUAGAGCAUGCCCAGGCAGAUAAGAGCGGCAUGUAAACAAUUGUCCUCCUUCAUUUUUGGUUAUUUUGUAGGCACAGGAGUAUCCAAGAAUAUACCCCUUCCACCUUGGAAGUUAACAAGUUUCGGGCCACUGAAAAGUUUCAGAUAAAAUGUUCUGCACAUACGCUGCCACCGCACCUGGAAUGCAUCACUUUAAUGCUCUGCAGCUUCCCAACUUAAUUCUUUCACCCACUGGAAACAUGUUGCCAAUUUAUGUAGCAUAUUCCACACAUUUGAAACGCCACUUAAUGAUACGCUGAAGACAAUGCAGAUGAAAGCUUUCUGCUGCCACUUAUCCCGUGCUUCAGCUCUGGCUGCGCGUCCAGCGGGGCUGGAGGCUUCCCGGGGCCACCUCCGGAGGAGGGGGAGAGGAGGCAAGUCCCAUUCACAACUAGACGCCGAGCAGAGGCGGCAGCAUCUUCAGCCUAUUACACUCCACCGGCAGCGGCUGCUGAAUGAGGCUCCGAGCUAGUGGCAGGAAUUAGAAAGAGGGAGGGAGGGGAAAGGGGUGAGGAAAGAGGAGAGGGAGGGAGAGAGAAGGAGCAAGGGGGAGCGAAGCGAGAUGAGAGGAAGGGAGAAGCUGGAGGCUGUUGCUUCUUCUCUAUUUCCUUCUCCCUUCCCCCCAGCCCAGAGGGAAGCGAACCCCCGAGCCCGCCCAGGGGCCGCGCCCCGGAGUGCCCGCGACGGGAGAAGCGCAGCUGGGGGAGAGGGGCUGCGGAGCCCACACACGCGCGCACGGCUCUGCUCGGCUGCUCUCGGCCUCGCGGGCACCCACGCGCGUCCACGAGGGGACGGGGCCGCCCACCCCGCUGUGCCGACGGGACGUGCCCCUUCCCAACCCUGCCGCCACCCCUCUGCGGACGGCUCGGGACCACCCCACGGCAGCGCCUCCGCGGGUGGGCCCGAGCCCACGCAGAGCCCUGGGCACGGCCGACAUCACGGGGCUCUGCUGCCCGGACACACCUCGACACGGACAUAAAGCACCUCGGGUGGACGAGCAGCAGGAGCGCCGUGUGCUGAACGCACUCGCGUUUCCUCACAUAAUUACACAUUUCUCCAGGAAAAAAUUAAAACUUUCCCAAGCUUUUUCUACACAUGGAAGAUCUCAGCCUGCGCAGCCCAGAGCCCUCGAGACGCAGGGGUGAGCCCUCCCUUCCUUACACGAAGGUAAAUCUCGGGGCACGCUGCCCAGGUGGGGCAGAGCCGCUCGGCUCCUGUGUGGCAGACGCCCUGUGCCAACCCAGCGGCACCACAGCCACCCCCCGCCCCGCCACCACACAGGCACACACCGGCCUGCGAGACGUGCUCAGCUCCCUCACGGCACCGAGGUCCGCUCACUCGGAGGCUCAACACAGCGCAGGGAGGGAUGUGAUGCACACACAGCCCAUCGAGAAUCAGUCUGGAAAUGGCCAGGUGCACCUCUGUGAAAAGAAUCUGCCUGUCCUCAGGCAGCCCGCCUGCCCGCCCGCUCAUCCCCCACGCCACCAGGCAGCACUGCUCCGCGAUCGCACUGCUCAGCCCUGAAGAACAAGGCUUUUAUAUGCUGUGGUUAAUUAGCUCUGCCAAUAACUCCAGGCAAAGAAAAAAAAAAAAAAACUGGCACAAAAAGCUCCCACUGUACAAACAAAGAAUUUGGAAGGAGGGAAGCUGAUAAACAAUGCAUCCCAGGGAGGCCGGCAGGCACUGAACUCAGCCCAGCAAGCAGCAAGCACCAGGGCCUGGUGUCAGCCCUGGGGAAGGAGCAGCAGCUUCCUCCUGUCUGCAGGGCUGGGGAUUGAGAAUUAAAGCUACCAUUUGCUUCAGAGAGAUGCUGAGAGUUCCCAGUUCAUCCCACGGAGGAAGCAGGGCCUGCCUGCAUCCUGAGGAAGCCUGGGGUGCCCUGACAUCCAGGCCCUGAGCAUGGUGCCCACCAGCCACAGGGACAGCAGAUGCUGCAGGGAGCUCAGAGCUUGGGGCUGGCACUGGAAACACCAGAAAUACCCUGGGCUGAGCUGAGAGCGUGAGGUAACCAGACAGCUAAUUAACUGAUACUGAAGUACUAAAGGCUUUAUUUGGAUAGGAAAAAAGCUGUGGUGGUAAGAGAACCAGCUCCAGGGAACAAGUGGUUUUUGAUAGGAAAUGUGAAGAGUAAUAAAUUACUAUCGAGAAAUAAAGCAUGAAAAGAAUAGCAUUUGAGAAAGUUUUUGAGGAGAAGUAGCUGAGGAAGAGAGGUGAUGCACACUAAUUUAGAACAGUUUGUCAAGAAAUUGGUUUUGGAGAGAAAACAUGAGAGGAACGGAAACAUCUCAAAAUAGUUUCAUACAAUCCCAGCCCAAACCUAUUGACUUCAGUGUGUCAUCAGUCUCCUGUGACAAUAAUAUGAGAAUUACCAUUUGUUUUCUUUAUGGGCACAACGCAGCAGCUCUACUUAGCACAGCUCUGCUGCUGGGGCUGCCAAAAUCACCACUUCACUGAAGCCCAGGCGCUGGGCAGUUGGCUGAAGAAUUUUCCCUUUUUCCCUUCUCCUGCUGGCUUCAGCAGCACAGUGGAGGGGAUGACUUUUGUAAUUCCCUUUUUCAAACUGCUGAGAUCAGGGUUUUUUUUGGAUAUAAAGGAAAUGUGAAAGCAAUUUCAAUCUAAUUAAGCAUAUACAAUAGGUACCCAUAAUAUUCUCUAGUCAAAGAGCGUAUUGAUCUAUAAUGGAAGGUUUCAUUAAUUCCAUUUGAGGAGGCAUGUUAACAAAUGAGGGCAGUAACAUCUGAUCUGGUGAGUGCCUCGAGUUUCCUCUCUUCUUUCUGCACUAAAAUCUCAGAAUUAAGCUAACCAGAUCAAAUAUUAUUUUUCUUUUAUUUGUCCAUCUUCUUAUAGGACCUACGGAUGGAAGGUCCUAUCUGCACAAUUAACGCAGAACUCCUACUGAAAUCUGUGUGUUUGCACCACUCUGCUGAGUUUCAAUUCUGACUACGUUAAUAAUUAGAAUUGUACGUAAUGUCAGUAAGAAGAAGUCCCUCUAUCCAGAUUGGGCCACUAGCUGGAGAUACCACUCUCUAUACACUGAAAGUUCUCAACCACUAGCUUACACUGGAAACCUGCCUACAACCAUCUGAAGUUAGAUGAGAUGAGUCCUGCUUUUUAUGUUAGAUACAGAAGAAGAAAGAAGUCGUCAAACCAAAACCAAUAUGUGGUGCUGAUAGAUGAGGACAUUCACCAUAUUCCCUUGACUACAGAUUAUAUUCAGGCAACAACCCUGCCAUAAUUUCAGGAAAACAACUGCAGAGUCCUUGCACAAGACAUGACAGCAGUUCACAUAAAGAGAAACAGGCAGGGAGGAAGGGGUAACCAGGAACAUCCACAGAAAUACACAGCUGAAGUUCUAGCAGCCCAGUGCUCAAGUGUGCACUCACAACGUGAUAGACAGAGAACUUCACAGACUGCCCAAGUCGUGCCUUGUCAUUCCUAUCACACAUAAAGGUGAGGAAAAGAGGAUAAACUAUUGCAAAGUUCUGUGUUUGCAGACCAUUUCUCCUGACUAGUAACUCUUCACCUGUAAAGCCUUAGGCUAGAUACUACCUUUAUGAAGGUCAUGUCGCAGCCAAUGUAAAUUCAUUGUGGACAGUAUCAGAAUAAACCCAGCUUAAAAUGGGAAAUCCUUCCAAAUACAAUCACCACCUGUCUUUACAAAACAUUUACAUGUGGAACAAAAAGCAGGCCUCAGCUAUCCUGCCGCCCUGGAAGUCAUGGCAGAGCAGCAGGGGUGUACAGGAAGGUCUGCAGUUACCACUUACAGAUGCUUGAAACCUGGUAGCAAAAUGCAAUCAGUGUUAGACAUAAAUAAAGGAAGUUUAUACAUAUUUUAAACAGUACCUAUUUUUGGAUAUCCAUAUAUUUAGGUUAAGAACAUCUGUGAUAACAGAUCUGCGAAACCUAAAAAAAAAAAGAUUCCUUUACCUACUGUGGGCUUACAGAAUCUGAAGUUAAAAUCCUGCUCAUUGUUUGGUAAGUUAACUCAUUUAUCAUUUCAAAAUAAGCUAGCUGGUUUGCUUCCUCAGUAUCUGAAGGGGUACAUGCACUUCUGCUAAUUGAAUCAUUGUUCUUGGAAACACUGCAGCUGAGUUCAUGAAAUACACAUAAGCAGGUGUAUCGUAAGUUUAAGCUGAGCAUUUGUAUUAGAAUUCAUAUGGAAAACCUUGAACUGUGAACUUCAGAAAUGGAAGUCCAAUAAGCCUUCCACAGUUCAAAAGAUUUCAUCAGCGUCUCAUUUACUGAAUACCUUAGGCACACCAACACAAUAAAUGUGAAAGAAGACUCUUCUUUCCAUGUUUUGACCCUCUUUUUCCAGGCCCUACAAGCUGUUUUCCCAUAUGACUUCAACUACCUUCAAAAGACCUGUAAUUUCCUUCACUUUUCUUCUCGCUUGGAAAGUAUUUGAGAUUUUAAAGGGCAUAUUGCUAGCAGCAGGAGCUGGGAGUUCAGGAAGAAGAGAGACGGUGAAAAAGAAGUAUAGAAAAGAGUCAUAGUAAAAGAUAUUCCAUAGACUAAACAACGUGUUUGUUCCAAACGUCCUUCAAAUUCAGAAACAAAGCAAAAUUUGCUUCCUACGUGAAAAUACAUAAAGCAGGACUGAAGGAGAUAGGAAAAAAAAUCUUCCUAGUGACCCUAAAAGAGGGAAAACUAAUGAAAGCCACAGUACUAGCACACUGAGAACACAAGUAUGCAAAAGAUGAAUGUAACUUACAAAAUGUGCAUCUUAUAGAAUGUACAGUUCAAAACAACCAUUAUCUAAAGCUGUAUUUUUGUGUGGGUUUUUUGUUGUUUUGUUUUUUGUUUUUGUUUUUUUUUUUUGUUUUGUUUUUAAUAAAAACCUCUUCCUUGUGGAAAUAUAAGAAUAUUGUUGUUAUAACAACAAAGUAUUGUUACGUUCUGAUAUCCUUGGGAAAGGUUAAAACAAAGGCAAAAACACCAAAAAAAAAAAAAAAAAGUGCAAAACAACAGAUAAAGAAGCUAUCUCCACAAAGAUAACAAUAUACCAGCAUAUUCCUUGAAGCACUGAAACCUGGAAAGAAAAGGGGAUUUUGAAGUAGGAAGAGCCAGCGAACUAUGGAAAUACAAAUGGGUGCUCCAUAGUUUUGUUUUGUUUUCAUUCCAGAUGUACACAUGGACCUUCCUUUCAACGCACCAGCUCCAUAGAGAAAUCAUCAGCUUGAAUCACCUAUUCCAAGUGGUACUCAGGACAGAACUCUCACAAGCAGGAUUGAUGACAUAUCAAGCAGGAUUGAUGGCAUAUCCAAAUCCAAAUUUGGAGUUUGGUUAUUGCCUUUAUCUGUCUACUGCAAGAAAAGGCCUCAUUCCUGUACCAGAGCAAAAGAAACUUUCCUUUUCUUUCCUUUAAACUACUGAUAGAGUCUGGUCUGAUGGCAUUCCACAUUUUAACUCACCUUCAUAAUGAAGAUAAAAUUCCUCAUUUUCAGUCAAACUCAAGUGGCCAGACAUGGGCCACAGGAUAACAAUGUGUCUAUCCAUCAAAGACAGCAAAACUGAAUCCAAAUUCGUUCAAGCUGCAGUAGAAGAAAAGUCCAUUUUCCUCCAGUUUUCAGAGAUCUUUUAAAGAUAGGUCUGGUUUUAUUAAGACCUUGAUGAGAGGAGCUCCCUUGUUGUACAAAAUCUAAGGAAGUGGUUUGGCAGGUACUGAGCAUACACAAUUAGAUAUUUCUAUCAUUCUCUGAACUUUGAGACCAUCUUACCCUGAACAGCCCUGAGGAUAUUUUGGGACUAUUUUGAUCAGUUUUAGAAACUGCCAUAGCAUCCUGGCCAUUGUGCCACUUCCUCAGCUCUGCUGCAAUGUACGUAAGACCAGGCAGGACUGGACUAGUUACCUGUUGUGUUGUGAAGAGGUGUGUCAAGCUCAGGAAAUUUCCAAGGGCAUCCAAAAAAGCCUUUUAGUUUCCUUGGGUUACAGAGCAGGUUCAAUCCAGGAUCAAGCUCCAGAUGGGUUGUUUGUACAGCACUGAAAAACAUUAUCAAAGAAUAGUAUUAAUAAAGACGUUAAAUUUAAAACUACUACACACACAGAGUCUGCUGACCAAUGCAGAUCUGAACGAUAGAAUAUUUACAGUUACAACCUAGCACCCCAAAAUUACGGCAUAGAAGUAUUCAGAGGGAGGAAAAAGGGCUCGAAUGGUAAGUCAGAAAAUCUUCAUAAACAUUGUGAUGUAUCAAUGGCUUUCACUAAUGGGUUUUUAGAAAUACAGAUCAGAAAAUUAGAUUUCUCACUUAAUCAAGGUAUUAUUUAGUUAGGAACUUCAGGCUCAUUUAUUUCUGGCACUGCACAUCAAAAAAAGAAAUGCAUUUUUAUACAUGUGUGUAUGUACACACACCUGUGCAUAUGGCACUGUCUGAAUGGGUUGUCAAGAAGGAUGAGGACUUCAAAUAAAUUCCUCUAUUCAGCUUCUGGUUUUAAUGGAGAAGAUAGCUUAUAUAAUUUAUUCUAUUAGAAAACAAGUUGGAAAAAAAAUCACUACAUCUACCUGCACAGCUUCAACACUCG